RNAcentral lists this ribosomal RNA (252 nucleotides) under uncultured bacterium. RNAcentral describes it as "partial 16S ribosomal RNA". It matches the Rfam family "Bacterial small subunit ribosomal RNA", at positions 524 to 776 of the family's 1533-position model. The record is from RNAcentral.
UACGGAGGUUGCGAGCGUUAUCCGGAUUUAUUGGGUUUAAAGGGUGCGUAGGCGGAUCGUUAAGUCAGUGGUCAAAUUGAGGGGCUCAACCCCUUCCCGCCAUUGAAACUGGCGCUCUUGAGUGGAAGAGAAGUAUGCGGAAUGCGUGGUGUAGCGGUGAAAUGCAUAGAUAUCACGCAGAACCCCGAUUGCGAAGGCAGCAUGCCGGCUUCCGACUGACGCUGAAGCACGAAAGCGUGGGGAUCGAACAGG